GAUGAACGCUGGCGGCGUGCUUAACACAUGCCAGUCGAACGAAACCUUUGCGAGAGAUUUUUUCGAAGUGAAGUUGCUUAUGACUGAGUGGCGGACGGGUGAGUAACGCGUGGGUAACGUGCCUUGUCCUGGGGGAUAGCAGCUGAAUACGGCUGGUAAUACCGCAUAAGCGCACAAUGUUGCAUGACCUGGGGGGGAAAUCUCCGGUGGUAUAAGAUGUACCCGCGUGGGGUGCGCUAGUUGGUGCGAUAACAGCCUCCCAAGGCGACGAUCGGUACCCGGCCUGUGAGGGUGAGCGCCCACAUUGGGAGUGGGCAGCGGCGCAGACUCCUACGGGAGGCGGCAGUGGGGAAUAUUGCAAAAUGGAGUAAACUCUGAUGCAGUGACGCCGCGUGAGUGAAGAAGUUGUUCGUGAUGUACAGCUCUAUCAGCAGGGAAGAUAGUGACGGUACCUAACUAAGAAGCUCCGGCUAACUACGUG
RNAcentral lists this ribosomal RNA (481 nucleotides) under uncultured bacterium. RNAcentral's name for it is "partial 16S ribosomal RNA". It matches the Rfam family "Bacterial small subunit ribosomal RNA", at positions 28 to 507 of the family's 1533-position model. The record is from RNAcentral.